RNAcentral lists this ribosomal RNA (448 nucleotides) under uncultured bacterium. RNAcentral describes it as "bacterial SSU rRNA". It matches the Rfam family "Bacterial small subunit ribosomal RNA", at positions 355 to 825 of the family's 1533-position model. The record is from RNAcentral.
UGGGGAAUCUUGGACAAUGGGCGCAAGCCUGAUCCAGCCAUGCCGCGUGAGUGAUGAAGGCCUUAGGGUUGUAAAGCUCUUUUUGCCGGGGACGAUAAUGACGGUACCCGGAGAAUAAGUCCCGGCUAACUUCGUGCCAGCAGCCGCGGUAAUACGGAGGGAGCUAGCGUUGUUCGGAAUUACUGGGCGUAAAGCGUACGUAGGCGGUGACUCAAGUCAGAGGUGAAAGCCUGGAGCUCAACUCCAGAACUGCCUUUGAAACUAGGUCGCUAGAAUCACGGAGAGGUGAGUGGAAUUCCGAGUGUAGAGGUGAAAUUCGUAGAUAUUCGGAAGAACACCAGUGGCGAAGGCGGCUCACUGGACGUGUAUUGACGCUGAGGUACGAAAGCGUGGGGAGCAAACAGGAUUAGAUACCCACGUAGUCCCUGAGCGGGCUGGCAAGGCGCAU